CCUACGGGUGGCAGCAGUGAGGAAUAUUGGUCAAUGGUCGUGAGACUGAACCAGCCAAGUAGCGUGCAGGAAGAAGGUACUUAGUGUUGUAAACUUCUUUUGUCGGGGAACAAAGGCGGUGACGUGUGUUCGGUUGUGUGUACCCGAAGAAUAAGCAUCGGCUAAUUCCGUGCCAGCAGCCGCGGUAAUACGGAGGAUGCGAGCGUUAUCCGGAUUUAUUGGGUUUAAAGGGUGCGCGGGCGGGAGAUCAAGCUAGCGGUAAAAUGUCGGGGCUCAACCCCGGCCGGCCGUUGGAACUGGUUUGCUAGAGUUGGAGAAAAGUAUGCGGAAUUCGUGGUGUAGCGGUGAAAUGCAUAGAUAUCACGAAGAACUCCGAUUGCGAAGGCAGCAUACCGCCGCCAUACUGACGCUGAAGCACGAAGGCGUGGGUAUCGAACAGGAUUAGAUACCCUUGUAGUC
Molecule: ribosomal RNA, 459 nt
Filed under: uncultured bacterium
Lineage: Bacteria
Description: partial 16S ribosomal RNA
Rfam family: Bacterial small subunit ribosomal RNA
Source: RNAcentral